UACGUAGGGGGCAAGCGUUGUCCGGAAUCAUUGGGCGUAAAGCGCGUGUAGGCGGUUCGAUAAGUCUGCUGUGAAAGUCCAGGGCUCAACCCUGGGAUGCCGGUGGAUACUGUCGGACUAGAGUACGGAAGAGGCGAGUGGAAUUCCCGGUGUAGCGGUGAAAUGCGCAGAUAUCGGGAGGAACACCAAUUGCGAAGGCAGCUCGCUGGGACGUCACUGACGCUGAGACGCGAAAGCGUGGGGAGCAAACAGG
This 253-nucleotide ribosomal RNA is filed under the name Conexibacter sp. Its description in RNAcentral is "partial 16S ribosomal RNA". It matches the Rfam family "Bacterial small subunit ribosomal RNA", at positions 524 to 776 of the family's 1533-position model. Lineage: Bacteria; Bacillati; Actinomycetota; Thermoleophilia; Solirubrobacterales; Conexibacteraceae. The record is from RNAcentral. RNAcentral also lists the same sequence under 1 other name.